Molecule: non-coding RNA, 354 nt
Organism: Schizosaccharomyces pombe (fission yeast)
Lineage: Eukaryota; Fungi; Ascomycota; Schizosaccharomycetes; Schizosaccharomycetales; Schizosaccharomycetaceae
Source: the annotation of a GenBank genome assembly
UUCAAUUGAUUCAUAUUGUUUGUUACGCCAAACAAUGUUAAUACGAACUCCAAAUAUCUCACGUACAUUUCAACUGAAGCGACAUAUUUACCACCUUCGGGAGUAGCAUCACCCACUUCUGCUUUUACACCUAUGACUAUCUCCACCGAAGACGCCCAUUUAACUCUAGCAGAACCAUUUGUACCAGGCAGAACAUCUACUUGUCCAGAAAGCGGACGAAGCUGGUCUAUCGAACGUCCAUCAUUCCGAAUUGCAGGCUCAAAUUCUGUUAUUGAUUUGUGUGUGUACGAUAGUUCUGGUAAUGACAAUUGCAUAUGUUGGCUAAUGGUAUAUCGUUUAAGAAUAAUUUUCCUU